GCGGGCGUGGCGGAAUUGGCAGACGCGCCAGACUUAGGAUCUGGUGUCCCCGAUGUGCAGGUUCAAGUCCUGUCGCCCGCACCA
Molecule: transfer RNA, 84 nt
Filed under: Clostridia bacterium
Lineage: Bacteria; Bacillati; Bacillota; Clostridia
Description: tRNA-Leu
Rfam family: tRNA
About the family: Transfer RNA (tRNA) molecules are approximately 80 nucleotides in length. Their secondary structure includes four short double-helical elements and three loops (D, anti-codon, and T loops).
Source: RNAcentral